Molecule: long non-coding RNA, 1294 nt
Organism: Diceros bicornis minor
Lineage: Eukaryota; Metazoa; Chordata; Mammalia; Perissodactyla; Rhinocerotidae
Exons: 5
Source: RefSeq, a predicted model, not a curated record
GCCCAGCCGCCCAUGGACACCGCGCCGCGCGCGCAGCGCUCGGCUCCCCACUGCCCUGCGCCGCUCGCCGCCCGGGCCCCCGCCGGGCCCCGACACGGACGACGUGCGACAGCAGAUCAUGGCUAUCAUCGACCAGAGCUUGGACGAGGUGCAGGCCAGAAAGCAUGCUCUGAAUUACCGUCAGAUGAAGCCUACUCUCUUCAGUGUGCUCUGUGAAAUCAAGGAAAAGACAAGUAGGCCAUUGAGAAGACACUUCCUGUGUGGAUCCAGGACCUCGACAACCACAUGCUUCUGGUCCUGGCUUGGCCCUAACGUGCAUCAUGGGCCGUCUUGCCCAUCGCAUCUUUCUCUGGCUGCAGAUGGUUCAGGCUCCUGGUCUCAUCGUCUUGACCGGCACCUGAGGACAGAGCCGAGAAGGGGCCUCACCCAUGUCUGACUUGAAGCAGUGCCUCUAAAGGUCCCCAGUAAGUCUGAGGGUGCUGUGUGGUUUGGAGAGACGCCGUUAUCACGUGACAGACUUUGGAAGCACCUGUGUUUGGAGAUAAAUCCUCGUGGUUAUGAUUCAUGUAUUUAUGCACAUACACGCACAGAGAUGCUGCUGAUGUUGGUUUGCUGGUCACUUAUUUAAAUGGCUUAAAUGAAUGAGGCUGGGCUGCGAUUUCCUCAUGGAGCUCCUGUCCUGAGUUCUCCAUAUGGCCCCGGGCAGCUGGCAGGGGGCCACCCCCCCCCAGUGUCAACUCAGACGCAUCGUGGCUUGCCAGCACUCGCGUUUUUACUGUGCAUGCAGCUGAUUAACCUCAGAAAAUCCAGAACCAACAGCAGACAGCACUCCCCGAGCCACUGCCCAGAGACACCGCCGCCAUCUUUUGCUUGGCGGCUGAGAUUUGAAAUUGGUUGAGACACUGCACAUUUUUCCAAUUCUGUUUUUUAAAUAGUAAUUUUAUGGUAAGACUAUGAAUUCUUUUCUAGGGCUUGUCACAAAUUCUCCCAUUAAAAUUUUUGACUUAUUUUAAUAUCAGUGUUGUUCACCACCAGAUUUGUUCUGGGGAUGGUUGACAGCGCAGGCACGGGGUCAGAGCUGCGCAGUCGUGCACGUGUGACUCCAAUGCUAUUUGUCCCUUCCUGUGCCGACUCAUCAGACGCUGCUCCUCCCACACUCUCCUGUCCUGUAGUUCACACGGUUUUGAUUAAAGUCUAUUGUGAGCUCACAAUUUUACUGGGAAUUGAUUUUGCACUUUUUUUUCUGUUCUACCAUUUUCAGUUGAAAUGUCAUUAAAGAUGAUAAACUUCCCGA